CCUACGGGUGGCAGCAGUGAGGAAUAUUGGUCAAUGGACGAGAGUCUGAACCAGCCAAGUAGCGUGAAGGAUGACUGCCCUAUGGGUUGUAAACUUCUUUUAUACGAGGGUAAACGCAGAUACGCGUAUCUGUCUGCACGUAUCGUACGAAUAAGGAUCGGCUAACUCCGUGCCAGCCGCCGCGGUAAUACGGAGGAUUCAAGCGUUAUCCGGAUUUAUUGGGUUUAAAGGGUGCGUAGGCGGUCGGAUAAGUUAGAGGUGAAAUCCCGAGGCUCAACUUCGGAAUUGCCUCUGAUACUGUUCGGCUAGAGAGUAGUUGCGGUAGGCGGAAUGUAUGGUGUAGCGGUGAAAUGCUUAGAGAUCAUACAGAACACCGAUUGCGAAGGCAGCUUACCAAGCUACUUCUGACGUUGAGGCACGAAAGCGUGGGGAGCAAACAGGAUUAGAUACCCGAGUAGUC
RNAcentral lists this ribosomal RNA (460 nucleotides) under uncultured bacterium. RNAcentral's name for it is "partial 16S ribosomal RNA". It matches the Rfam family "Bacterial small subunit ribosomal RNA", at positions 338 to 795 of the family's 1533-position model. The record is from RNAcentral.